CGCUACUGCCCUGCCACCACCGCGGGUAAUCCGUAGUGGGCAAUCGUUGUCCGGAAUCCUUGGGCGUCAAGAGCGUGUAGGCGGCUCGAUAAGUCUGCUUUGAAAGUCCAGGGCUCAACCCUGGAAGGCCGGUGGAAACUGUCGGGCUAGAGUCCGGAAGAGGCGAGUGGAAUUCCCGGUGUAGCGGUGAAAUGCGCAGAUAUCGGGAGGAACACCAAUGGCGAAGGCAGCUCGCUGGGACGGUACUGACGCUGAGACGCGAAAGCGUGGGGAGCAAACAGGAUUAGAUACCCUAGUAGUC
RNAcentral lists this ribosomal RNA (301 nucleotides) under uncultured Acidiplasma sp. RNAcentral's name for it is "bacterial SSU rRNA". It matches the Rfam family "Bacterial small subunit ribosomal RNA", at positions 495 to 795 of the family's 1533-position model. The record is from RNAcentral. Lineage: Archaea; Methanobacteriati; Thermoplasmatota; Thermoplasmata; Thermoplasmatales; Ferroplasmaceae.